UAGGGAAUCUUCCACAAUGGACGCAAGUCUGAUGGAGCAACGCCGCGUGAGUGAAGAAGGUUUUCGGACCGUAAAGCUCUGUUGUUGGUGAAGAAGGAUAGAGGUAGUAACUGGCCUUUAUUUGACGGUAAUCAACCAGAAAGUCACGGCUAACUACGUGCCAGCAGCCGCGGUAAUACGUAGGUGGCAAGCGUUGUCCGGAUUUAUUGGGCGUAAAGCGAGCGCAGGCGGAAGAAUAAGUCUGAUGUGAAAGCCCUCGGCUUAACCGAGGAAUUGCAUCGGAAACUGUUUUCUUGAGUGCAGAAGAGGAGAGUAGAACUCCAUGUGUAGCGGUGGAAUGCGUA
This 344-nucleotide ribosomal RNA is filed under the name uncultured bacterium. RNAcentral describes it as "partial 16S ribosomal RNA". It matches the Rfam family "Bacterial small subunit ribosomal RNA", at positions 355 to 692 of the family's 1533-position model. The record is from RNAcentral.